Small nucleolar RNA from Jaculus jaculus (lesser Egyptian jerboa), 151 nucleotides. The record is from Ensembl. NCBI's taxonomy places the organism in Eukaryota, Metazoa, Chordata, Mammalia, Rodentia, Dipodidae.
CUUCGAUGAAGAAGUGAUGACGAGCCUGACUUGGGGGUGUUAUCUUUGUCCGAGUGUCCUCACUCUGUGCUGCGUUCUGUGGCACAUUUUUAAAGGACCGUGGUCAAAGAAAACUUCCUAGAGAUGACCAAGAGGCAUUUGUCUGAGAAGG